CCUACGGGAGGCAGCAGUGGGGGAUAUUGCACAAUGGGGGAAACCCUGAUGCAGCGACGCCGCGUGUAUGAAGACGGUCCUCUGGAUUGUAAACUACUGUCCCCAGGGACGAAGAUGACGGUACCUGAGGCGGACGCUCCGGCUAAUUACGUGCCAGCAGCCGCGGUAAUACGUAGGGAGCGAGCGUUGUCAGGACUUACUGGGUGUAACGGGAGCGUAGGGGGGGAUGCAAGUUGGGGGGAAAAUCUACCGGCUCAACUGGUAGUCGCACUCAAAACUGCAGCUCUUGAGUGAAGUAGAGGCAGGCAGAAUUCCUAGUGUAGCGGUGAAAUGCGUAGAGAUGAGGAGGAACACCAGUGGCGAAGGCGGCCUGCUGGGCUUUUACUGACGCUGAGGCGCGAAAGUGUGGGGAGCAAACAGGAUUAGAUACCCUGGUAGUC
Molecule: ribosomal RNA, 440 nt
Filed under: uncultured bacterium
Lineage: Bacteria
Description: partial 16S ribosomal RNA
Rfam family: Bacterial small subunit ribosomal RNA
Source: RNAcentral